GCGAAACCUUUACAAUGCACGAAAGUGUGAUAAGGCAACUCCUUGUGCUUAUCCAAAAGAUAGCUUUUUAGGUAUGCAAUGUAUACUAAGAAUAAGUGAUGGGCAAGACCGGUGCCAGCAGCCGCGGUAAUACCGGCGUCACAAGUGGAGACCACGAUUUACUGGGGUCUAAAGUGUUCGUAGCUGGUCAUAUAAGUCUCUUGUGAAAAGUUCUGUAGCUUAACUCAGGAAUUUGCAAGAGGUACUGUAUGACUUGAGACCGGAAGAGGUGUAAAGCA
Molecule: ribosomal RNA, 278 nt
Filed under: uncultured euryarchaeote
Lineage: Archaea; Methanobacteriati; Methanobacteriota
Description: partial 16S ribosomal RNA
Rfam family: Archaeal small subunit ribosomal RNA
Source: RNAcentral